CUGAUGGAUUUAAUUCUAUGGCUUUGGUAUACAAUUCAAUAGCUUUGUUAUACACUUGAUCUGAAAUGAAAAAGUGGGAUAUAAAACGUAAAAAUGGGACCUCGCACGAGUCUCCUAAUUUGGAAAUUUAUUCGAUUAUCCGCAUUGGAAAAAGAAUUAUUUAACGCUCUUCGAUGGAAAUUUACUUGCACGAUCUCGCGACUCUGUUGCAUUGCGGAGGUUAGUUCGGAGGACACGCACACGUGACUGAACGUGAACAUUAAAUUGGAACGCAUCCAGCGAUUAGUAGCGCAGACGAUGUUGUGAGGCAGUUCUUGUGGAAGGAUAGACAUUUGUUUAAACAUAGUGA
This is a long non-coding RNA of Linepithema humile (Argentine ant), 349 nucleotides long. RefSeq lists it as uncharacterized. Lineage: Eukaryota; Metazoa; Arthropoda; Insecta; Hymenoptera; Formicidae. The record is from RefSeq and is a predicted model, not a curated record.